AGCAGCCGCGGUAAUUCCAGCUCCAAUAGCGUAUAUUAAAGUUGUUGCAGUUAAAAAGCUCGUAGUUGAAUUUCGGGAUCAAUAUAUCGGUCGUGCCAUCGGUACGUACUGGUAUGAUUGGUUUCUCCUUUCUGACGAACCAUGAUGUCAUUAAUUUGGUGUUAUGGGGAAUCAGGACUGUUACUUUGAAAAAAUUAGAGUGUUUAAAGCAGGCGGAAUGAUAUGCCUUACCUUCUGGUGAGCUGUCGUGUUGUUUACUCAGCGCGGCAGGGAACCAGGACUUUUACUUUGAAAAAAU
RNAcentral lists this ribosomal RNA (298 nucleotides) under uncultured Glomus. RNAcentral describes it as "partial 18S ribosomal RNA". It matches the Rfam family "Eukaryotic small subunit ribosomal RNA", at positions 569 to 874 of the family's 1831-position model. Lineage: Eukaryota; Fungi; Glomeromycota; Glomeromycetes; Glomerales; Glomeraceae. The record is from RNAcentral.